This 79-nucleotide transfer RNA is filed under the name Perca fluviatilis (European perch). RNAcentral's name for it is "tRNA-Glu". Lineage: Eukaryota; Metazoa; Chordata; Actinopteri; Perciformes; Percidae. The record is from RNAcentral.
CCCCGGCUGGUGCUAGAGCAGUCGGUAAAGCAUGAGACUCUCAAUCUCAGAGUUUUGGGUUCAAGCCCCACGUUGGGUG